This is a non-coding RNA of Gambusia affinis (western mosquitofish), 898 nucleotides long. Lineage: Eukaryota; Metazoa; Chordata; Actinopteri; Cyprinodontiformes; Poeciliidae. The record is from the annotation of a RefSeq genome assembly.
UCUAAAGAGACUCAAACUUCCUCCUUCAGUUCAGCUCAACUCUCCAACAGUAACUCUGAUCAACAUGCUGUCUCUGCUCACAUCUGGAUUCACUCUGCUGGUUCUGAUCUCUGGAUCAGGUGUAAACUGUCAACAACUCACUGCAGGAAAGACUGAGGAGUUCAGUUCAGAGGGCAGCUCUGUUACUCUGACCUGCAGUUACUCCAACAAGAUAGCUCUUGGUGAUGAUUUCUUUUGGUAUCGACAAAAUCCUGGAAAACCUCCAGAGUUCAUCUUGUACAUCUCAGGACUCAACAACUCAAGAUCAGCAGAGUCUCUGAAAUCAUUAACGAGAUUCUCCACUUACCUGAGAGGAGAGAAACAGAUGGACCUGCUGAUCUCCUCUGCUGCAGUGACAGACUCUGCUGUGUACUACUGCGCUGUGAGGCCCACAGUGACAGGAAACACCAGAACCCUGUACAAGAACCUGCAGUACUCCACAGCAGCCACUAGAGGGCCUCACUCCCUGUUAAUCCACGGGUUUUUGAGUCUGUGAAGACAAACAGUGGCAUCAUGUUGCGACUGAACUUGGUGCAGAAAUACUCCAAGAAGUCUGCAGACAUGAGUAACGCCUGACAUUCUGCAUCCCAGAGCUUGAGAGACUUUCUAAAAUAUGAGAUCUUUAACUGUUGUCAUGGAAAAAAUACUAUUUCCAAGCACUGUUCAGGUAUAAUCACUCAAUCAGGUUAAUUCUUAUAUUGUGCACAAUACAGAGAGCUUGUAGGACAAUCAGUAAUGAAGCAGGUCUGGAUGAAAAGCUCUGCUAGGCAGAGAAACACCAGAGUUUUAUACCAGAGAUAAAGAAUUAACAACAAGUGGAGAGACAGUCUGGUUCUGAUGCAGCUGUAGAAAAACAACU